GACGAACGCUGGCGGCGUGCUUAACACAUGCAAGUCGAACGCUGAAGACCUGGCUUUUGUUGGGUUGGAUGAGUGGCGAACGGGUGAGUAACACGUGAGUAACCUGCCCUCUUCUUUGGGAUAACGCCCGGAAACGGGUGCUAAUACUGGAUAUUCACUGGCCUUCGCAUGGGGGUUGGUGGGAAGGUUUGUUCUGGUGGGGGAUGGGCUCGCGGCCUAUCAGCUUGUUGGUGGGGUGAUGGCCUACCAAGGCUUUGACGGGUAGCCGGCCUGAGAGGGUGACCGGUCACAUUGGGACUGAGAUACGGCCCAGACUCCUACGGGAGGCAGCAGUGGGGAAUAUUGCACAAUGGGCGAAAGCCUGAUGCAGCGACGCCGCGUGAGGGAUGGAGGCCUUCGGGUUGGAAACCUCUUUCGCUCAUGGUCAAGCCGCAACUGUGGGUUGUGGUGAGGGUAGUGGGUAAAGAAGCGCCGGCUAACUACGUG
RNAcentral lists this ribosomal RNA (486 nucleotides) under uncultured bacterium. RNAcentral describes it as "partial 16S ribosomal RNA". It matches the Rfam family "Bacterial small subunit ribosomal RNA", at positions 28 to 507 of the family's 1533-position model. The record is from RNAcentral.